CCUACGGGAGGCAGCAGUGAGGAAUAUUGGUCAAUGGACGAGAGUCUGAACCAGCCAAGUAGCGUGAAGGAUGACUGCCCUAUGGGUUGUAAACUUCUUUUAUAUGGGAAUAAAAUGUUCCACGUGUGGGAUUUUGUAUGUACCAUAUGAAUAAGGAUCGGCUAACUCCGUGCCAGCAGCCGCGGUAAUACGGAGGAUCCGAGCGUUAUCCGGAUUUAUUGGGUUUAAAGGGAGCGUAGGUGGAUUGUUAAGUCAGUUGUGAAAGUUUGCGGCUCAACUGUAAAAUUGCAGUUGAAACUGGCAGUCUUGAGUACAGUAGAGGUGGGCGGAAGUCGUGGUGUAGCGGUGAAAUGCUUAGAUAUCACGAAGAACUCCGAUUGCGAAGGCAGUUCACUGGACUGCAACUGACACUGAGGCUCGAAAGUGUGGGUAUCAAACAGGAUUAGAUACCCGAGUAGUC
RNAcentral lists this ribosomal RNA (460 nucleotides) under uncultured bacterium. RNAcentral's name for it is "partial 16S ribosomal RNA". It matches the Rfam family "Bacterial small subunit ribosomal RNA", at positions 338 to 795 of the family's 1533-position model. The record is from RNAcentral.